This 505-nucleotide ribosomal RNA is filed under the name uncultured bacterium. RNAcentral's name for it is "partial 16S ribosomal RNA". It matches the Rfam family "Bacterial small subunit ribosomal RNA", at positions 28 to 507 of the family's 1533-position model. The record is from RNAcentral.
GACGAACGCUGGCGGCGUGCCUAAUACAUGCAAGUAGAACGCACAGUUUAUACCGUAGCUUGCUACACCAUAAACUGUGAGUUGCGAACGGGUGAGUAACGCGUAGGUAACCUGCCUGGUAGUGGGGGAUAACUAUUGGAAACGAUAGCUAAUACCGCAUAAUAUUGAUUAUUGCAUGAUAAUUGAUUGAAAGAUGCUAUUGCAUCACUACCAGAUGGACCUGCGUUGUAUUAGCUAGUAGGUGAGGUAACGGCUCACCUAGGCGACGAUACAUAGCCGACCUGAGAGGGUGAUCGGCCACACUGGGACUGAGACACGGCCCAGACUCCUACGGGAGGCAGCAGUAGGGAAUCUUCGGCAAUGGACGAAAGUCUGACCGAGCAACGCCGCGUGAGUGAAGAAGGUUUUCGGAUCGUAAAGCUCUGUUGUAAGAGAAGAACGGGUGUGAGAGUGGAAAGUUCACACUGUGACGGUAUCUUACCAGAAAGGGACGGCUAACUACGUG